Molecule: ribosomal RNA, 253 nt
Filed under: uncultured bacterium
Lineage: Bacteria
Description: partial 16S ribosomal RNA
Rfam family: Bacterial small subunit ribosomal RNA
Source: RNAcentral
UACGUAGGGGGCAAGCGUUAUCCGGAUUUACUGGGUGUAAAGGGAGCGCAGGCGGCACGGCAAGCCUGAUGUGAAAGCCCGCGGCCCAACCGCGGGACUGCAUUGGGAACUACCGGGCUGGAGUGCCGGAGAGGUAGGCGGAAUUCCUAGUGUAGCGGUGAAAUGCGUAGAUAUUAGGAGGAACACCAGUGGCGAAGGCGGCCUACUGGACGGUGACUGACGCUGAGGCGCGAAAGCUGGGGGAGCGAACAGG